GUAGGGCAAUGCGGAGGCUGCAAGGCAUAGCCUAGGCCUUGAAGAAACGUCAGAGCUGUGUGAGAGAGGGUUGCAGAGUGGAUGUGGGUGGAAGGGAUUCUAGUGGAAGAAAGCUUCAAGAGGCAGUACUGGGACUUGCGGCAAAAAGGAGAGUAUAAGAAAGCAACAGAAAGGAGAGUAAAAGAGAGAAGGCUGGAGAGUAAGGUGGGACCAUAUCAUGAGUCCAGGAGUUAGAAUUUUCAUGUCACAAAUCCUAUCACAAGGGGCAUCAGAAAGCAAAUAUUACCUCACCAUACCACCCUGGCCAUCUCCAUGGUGACGCUGGGCAAAGAGGCCAAGCAGAGGCUGCAGUAGCUUUUCGAGGGCAGCCAAUUUUCCAUCUGCUGGGGCUUUAUUCGUCUCAUGACUUACCUGGAACUAAAGAAUGGUAUAGAGCCUGGGAUGUCUGAGCCAAUCGUUUUGAGCCUGCUUUGGAGAUAAAGGACUAUUUGAUCAUCUGGAUUUGGAAGCCAUCAGUGGGCAGGAACAACAUGGAGGUGUCAAUUUGACUGGAUUCAGGGACAUGCAGAUAACUGCUGGUGAAGCAUUGUUUCUAGGUAUGUCUGUGAGGGUGUUCCAGAAGAGACUGGCAUUUGAAUAACUGGACCAGGAAGAUUCCCCCCUCACCCAGUGAAGGCCCAUACCAUCCAGUUGGCUCAGGGCCUGACAGAACAAAAAGGCAGAAGAAAGGCAAAUUUGCUCACUCUCUUCUGGAACUGGGACACCCAUCUUCUCCUGCCCUUGGACAUCAGAACUUCCAGGCCUCUGGACUCCAGGAGUUGUACCAGAUACUCCCCAGUUUUCAAGCCAUCAGCUUAGGACUGAGAGUUACACCGGUGGCUCCUCUGGUCCUCGGGCCCUUGAACUUGGACUGAGCCAUGCUACCAUCUUCCCUUGUUCAUCUUGCAGACAGGAUAUUGUGGGACUUCUCAGCCUCCAUAAUCAAAAACACUGUUGUGAGUCGAGUCCCCUCCCUGUGCUGGGCACUAUGCUGGACAAUGCAGGCACAAGGUGGUGAUCUUGCCACCCUUCCCUCCAGGUGAGAUAAUGACAGAUGAGGCAGCAAGUGUGAUUGGGUGAUCCAGACACCAAGAGAACAGCAUGAACAGAUGACUGCAGGGGCACCAGCAAGCAGCAGCUGGUUACUUGGGGGCAUGAUUUAGCAAUGGCUUCACAGAGGAGGUGAUGCUAGUAAGUUGAGGUGUGGUCACGAGGCAGGGAGGCAGAGAAGGGCAUUUCAUUGUAGGCCAACGGAUCAGGGUGGGCAAAGGCCCAGAAGUAUGGUGCAGGUAGGUGCAUUUGAGGAGGAGUGAGGAGUUUUGGGUGACUAGAGUGCAUAGUUCCCAUCAGCAGCAAAGGGAGGUAUGGGAGAGAUGUGGCUGGAGCAUGAGGCGGGCUUGGUCAUCCUGGAGGGCCUUGGAAACCAAGCCAAAAGUUUAGAUUUCAUCCUGGAGAGCAUUUAGAAAGAGCUGUCUGGCAGCAGCAUGGAGGGAUGAAUUGGAGGCAGGCGGGACCAGAAACAGAGAAUAAUUAGGAGACAGCUGCCAAAGUCCAAGCAAGACAACAGGAGGGAUCGAACCAUGAUUAGGACAUGCAGAGCAAAGAAGAAAGAAUGAAAACCAGAGGUAUCUCCUGUAGCACUUAGUAACUGGUGGAUCGAGGGAGGACUCUAGGUCCUGAUGGGGUGACUGAAUGAACAGUGGAUUAAUACACAACAUAGAGCAGGGUCUCAGUGACCACAGGUGGGCUGGACAAGUGCAAGCAGAGAGAAUGCAUGCCUUCCAAAGGGCACAGCUGUGCUCAGCUCCAGCUGAUCACUAAUGGUAACUGCAAUGGUUAUCUAUUGCUGGGUAACAAAUUACCCCAACACGUAUUGACUUAAAACACAAACAUAUUUUCUCACAGUUUUUGUGGGCCAGGAAUCCAGGCAUGGUUUAACUGGGUCCUGUAAUCCACGGUCUCUCACAAGAUAGUAAUCAAGGUGUCAGCUAUGUCUGUGGUCUUGGCUUAAGGUUCAACUGAGGGAGGAUCUACUUCUGAAUUCAUUCAUGUGGUUGUUGGCAGGCCUUAGGUCCUUGGUGGUCGGUGGCUGGUGGCAUUGGUUCCUUUUCAUGUGGGUCUCUCCUUAGGAAGGUCAGCACCCCUCCAGAGCAAGUGAAGAAGAAAGAUGGAAGGCAGUCUUUUUGUAACCCAAUCUCAGAAGUGACAUCCUAUCAUUGUUGCUGGAUUCUAUUAAUUAGAAGUGAGCCAAGUUCGCCCCACACUCGAGGAGAUUUGACAAAGGCAUGCAAACCAGGAGGUAAGCAUCACUGGAAACCACCUUAGUGACUACACUACAAUAUUCACCUUUGAGAAUACAACUCAGUGUUGGGCCUGCCUGAUUUUUCAAGAAAAAUUGGAGAUCUGAUUUUUAUGUGAAAUCUUCCAAUUUGAAACUACUGGCCCUUAAUCCCAACAAUUUUUUUUAUAUGUAUUUGGUCAAAUAAAACUCUCUCAAGCAUAAUCCAUCAAGACCAUUAUGAAUCCUCUGGUACAGGGACCAGAGAAACAGGAGCAGGAUUAGAGGGGAGGGAGCAGAGGUUAGGAUGUCUCCCUCGUUCUUUUACUUGAGGAAGUCGGCAGAGCCAAGUCAUUGUUAAAAUGACGGGAGCUUGAAAAACAUGAAUGCCAAUCAUUCGAUCCAGAUAACUGUAUUCGUAUAAAUUCUACAGUCAUGUUGGUAAAGAUGACUUGUUUUCAUUAAAGAGAAACCUUUGAUCUCUGAUCUGACAGCUGCACAUCUAUAUAAAAUGAGACACUUUGACAUCUGUAGCUCUGAUCUCAAUUGGACAGGUGGUUUCCUACACACUAAUGGAACAGAAAGACAAUUGAGCAUUAUUAGAUAGGAGAGAAUGUUCUCACAUACAGGAAAACAGCUUUUUCCUUUAAAAAAACGUGAUAAAGAACAGAAAAUGACUGACAGAAUCAGAGCUUCCCAAAUGUCAGAAGAGCUGUUUCAGCUACACUCUGGCCUCUGUUAGGGGAGAUUAGGUUAGUUUUCAGAAAAGUAUUGAACAUACCUUAGCAUUAGCUGACUCAGGGAGGAAUUUGCUGGUAAAAUAAGCAUGCUCUCAGAGUGUGCCAAAGAACUAAGAUGCAGCUUGGGUUUUUCAUAAACAAAGCAAACACUUUAGUGAAGCCUAAUUUAUACACAUUCACUGAAAAGUUUAGUAAUCAGGAAAACUUCUUAGUGGAAAACCUUUUUUGCGUCUUCAUGCAGCAAAUACUUGUGGAGUACACACAUGGCUAGAUGCUGGAGAUACUGUAGGAAAGAUAGCCAAGGUCACUCUGUCCCGGUGACUUACAGACUAGAGGACAAGGCGGAUAUGAAAUAAUGAUAAAAAACAAAACAAAACUCUGAGGCACAUUUUGUCAGAGGAAGUAGAGGUGCCAUGGGAGCUUCACCCCAAGGUGACCUAGCUCAAGCCAGUGACUUGGGGAAGGCAUCCAGAGAGCUCAAAGAUGAGUAAGAAUUGGCCAGUUCAAGGUGGUGAGGUAUUGGGGUAUUUGGGGGAGGCUUUGGGCUGUUUGCUGUUUAAAUGGUAACACAGGAAAUAUUUUUUACAUAUUUCACAUUCAACAUUGGAUUUUCUCUUCAUCACUCAAAUUAUUAUAGUACAUCCUGAAAAAAAAGCUCACAUUUGUACUAGAACUAUAAAGUAGAAAAUAAGCAUUUCUUAGAAUAUUAAUAACAGUGAGUUCUUUUGCCUAGAAAGCAAAUCCUAUAUUUUUAUCUCAUUUCUCUUGUCACAUAGAAGAAGCUAUGCAAAGCCAAAAGAUGAGCACACAUGAUAGAUGAGGUUGUGGAGAAACCUUAUGCACUGCUGCUGGAAUGUAAAAUGGUGCAGGCACUUUGGAAAACAGUCUGGCAGUUUCUCAAACAGGCACAGAAUUGCCACGUGACCCAACAAUUCCACUGCUAGGUACAUACACAAGAGAAAUGGAAACAUAUGUCCACACAAAAACCUCCACAUGAAUGUUUAUUCAAAAU
Molecule: long non-coding RNA, 4069 nt
Organism: Papio anubis (olive baboon)
Lineage: Eukaryota; Metazoa; Chordata; Mammalia; Primates; Cercopithecidae
Source: Ensembl